This 67-nucleotide transfer RNA is filed under the name Necremnus tutae. RNAcentral's name for it is "tRNA-Leu". It matches the Rfam family "tRNA". Rfam says of the family: Transfer RNA (tRNA) molecules are approximately 80 nucleotides in length. Their secondary structure includes four short double-helical elements and three loops (D, anti-codon, and T loops). The record is from RNAcentral. Lineage: Eukaryota; Metazoa; Arthropoda; Insecta; Hymenoptera; Eulophidae.
UCUAAUAUGGCAGAUUAGUGCAAUAGAUUUAAGAUCUAUAUAAAUAAAUAAAAUUUUAUUUUUAGAA